RNAcentral lists this unclassified non-coding RNA (304 nucleotides) under fungal sp. Its description in RNAcentral is "partial internal transcribed spacer region". The stretch from base 1 to 46 matches the Rfam family "Eukaryotic small subunit ribosomal RNA", at positions 1786 to 1831 of the family's 1831-position model. Lineage: Eukaryota; Fungi. The record is from RNAcentral.
AAGUCGUAACAAGGUAACCGUAGGUGAACCUGCGGUUGGAUCAUUAACAAAUGAUUUUUUGGUCUUGAACCAAAACACUCUGUGCAACUACAUCUGUUUCUGGUGGUUUUUUGUGUAUUUCUCUCCCGCCCGGUGCUCCCGAAUGUCAAAUUUGUGUCGACGUUCACUCAAGCACGGGUAGAAAAUGGCAGGAGGAGAUCGCAGCCACCGAAUGACCAAUCAACUUUUGUAUUUUUUUUUGUCUGAAUCAUUCACAACUUUGUGCAAUGAAAAACAAUUUUUAACAACGGAUCUCUUGGUUCUC